This 359-nucleotide unclassified non-coding RNA is filed under the name uncultured Clitocybe. Its description in RNAcentral is "sequence contains ITS1". The stretch from base 1 to 105 matches the Rfam family "5.8S ribosomal RNA", at positions 50 to 154 of the family's 154-position model. The record is from RNAcentral. Lineage: Eukaryota; Fungi; Basidiomycota; Agaricomycetes; Agaricales; Tricholomataceae.
GAAAUGCGAUAAGUAAUGUGAAUUGCAGAAUUCAGUGAAUCAUCGAAUCUUUGAACGCACCUUGCGCUCCUUGGUAUUCCGAGGAGCAUGCCUGUUUGAGUGUCAUUAAAUUCUCAACCCUUUCAGCUUUUGCGAGCUGAAUUGGCUUGGAUGUGGGGGUUUUUGCGGGCUUCUCAAGAAGUCGGCUCCUCUUAAAUGCAUUAGCGGAACCUUUGUGGACCAGCUUUGGUGUGAUAAUUAUCUACGCCAUGGUUGUGAAGCAGCUUUUAACAUGGGGUUCAGCUUUCUAACCGUCCAUUAACUUGGACAAUUUAUGACAUUUUGACCUCAAAUCAGGUAGGACUACCCGCUGAACUUAA